AUGUGCUCUUUACAAUGCCAUCUGCUGGGAGGGGUCCAGGGAGCCAGGAGCUCUACCUUAGCCGACCUGUGGGUUGGGCAGCGUUCCCUGAGCUCUUUGUGGCUGAAGCAGAUAACAUCUUCCAUCGGCUCUCAUCCUGACAGGAAGCGCUUAAAAUCUGAGUCUGGAAAGGCUGCCAGGAAGCAGGUCCUAACUGAAAAGAACAGAUUUAUCUGCAUGAGGAUGUCAUGGCCUUGCUCAUCUGAAUCAGAUAGCCCAGUGGAACACUUUCUGGUGAGGUGCUGGUUCCUUGCUAAUGCUGUCCUGGUGCAUGGGGCUGCUCAAGGUGUAUGUGCUGGUGUUGAGCAAGGGACAGAAAUGAAGAGUGCAGUGCAUGCAGCAUGUGAAGCCUUUUUGGAAGGACAUGGUCACUGUCAGCAGCACAGGGGAGAGCCAAAGCUCUGGGGAGCCAGGAUUUGGGUGACUGCAGAGAAUUAAAGGGCUGUGGGAGUACGUUGGGAUGUGGCUUAAACAAUAGAAAAACAGACAGCCAAAGACUCAGCUCAUGCAAAUGGAGAUGGCUCUGUGGAUCAGUGAAGUCCUAAUAAUUUUCAGUAAAUGAGAUAUAAUGGGCUGCAGUGUGUGUGUAGCCAGAAUGCUACCCAGUGCUCCUCUUGAGAGCCUCAGGAGGCAUCAUGUCUCAGUAAAAUAGUUGCUGGUGGAAGAGCCAGCCUCUUGUGCAAAGCAACUUGUGUGUGUGCUUCAUUCAGCUGAAAUUGGUCUCCUAUUUUUCAUUUUAUAUGCUUUGCAGCCAUAUGUUUUGGUUAAAAACUGCACUGGAAUGGUGCAUUGUAAAUUAUGGGAAGUGCACAAACUAGUUUAUCUCCUCUCCUUCUCCAGCUGUGAAAGAAUCAACGAGAGAUGUGUCACAUAUGCAGAACCUCUGGGGACAGCAGCAUUCUCAUACAGGACAGGGACUGAAGGCCGUGGCAGCAUUGCUGUAGACUUUACACAACACAUGGG
RNAcentral lists this long non-coding RNA (1002 nucleotides) under Phasianus colchicus (ring-necked pheasant). Its description in RNAcentral is "lncRNA (ENSPCLG00000011598.1)". The record is from RNAcentral. Lineage: Eukaryota; Metazoa; Chordata; Aves; Galliformes; Phasianidae.